AUUUUUCCUGUGAAGAUUAAAGUAAAAACAUAUCUUUUUGUUCUAGAGAGAGUAACCGUGGCUGAAAGUUGCUCCUAGAGGUAGUUUUGAAAGACGAGUUGGAGGAUUGGUAGUGAAAAGCUGCCACGUAACAGGCGUUAACUGUAAGAGGAGAGUUUAUACUCUCGAAUUAAGGUGGCACCGCGUCCUCAUCACGUCCUUACC
This 204-nucleotide non-coding RNA is filed under the name Jeotgalibaca sp. RNAcentral's name for it is "T-box sequence". It matches the Rfam family "T-box leader". Rfam says of the family: Uncharged tRNA acts as the effector for transcription antitermination of genes in the T-box leader family. T-boxes are found upstream of many aminoacyl-tRNA synthetase genes and some amino acid biosynthetic genes usually in Gram-positive bacteria. The record is from RNAcentral. Lineage: Bacteria; Bacillati; Bacillota; Bacilli; Lactobacillales; Carnobacteriaceae.